UGUCCAGUGCUCAGUAAAGAACCGCGCGGCCCCAGGCUUGCUUCCAGGCCUGUGCCUGCUCCAGCACUGCUGUUGCGGAGCGACCGGAUGUGUCCGUGAACGACGUGACCAGGCUGCUCAACAGGGAGGUGAUCGAGAGUGCGUAGGACAGCGCAAGGCCCACAAAACCUGCAGCCCAUGUGACCAACACCACCAGAAUUUAACACAUCUUUUUAUAUAGAGUAUACCGUGCAUUUCCAUUAAUUUGACCACGACGGAAGGUCCCGGCCAGCGCCCAUAAAUUUAUAUGGGAGCAAACUUUCGCUAUUUCGAUCUUUAAAUUAGCCUUUGUCGAGUAGUUCAAACUUGGCUGGUCAUCACGCGUGUGCCCAAGCCCAAUGGUGAGCGCAGUAAUGAUUCCAAUAGUGGCAGCAUCAGUCUUGGCGGUGCUUAGGGUACAGUGAAUCAUGCCGAACACAGUCAUCUCCCGUUAAAAACUCCUAUUUUUGGUUUGAACCAGGAAACAUUAAAACGAAAACAGCAGCUCACAAUAAAUCAUUACAGUAUUUACCCAACUGUAGCCCGCACCAUUUUUGCUAAGAAAAUUUGUCUGAAAACUGCUUGGGCAGUGUAAUCCAAUAUGAAACCAAAACCGCAUUUACAACAGUCUACCUACAGAGCCAGCCUAGCCACCGUCAUCGCCAUUACCAUCACAAGAUGGCGACCAUGAAUGGCAUCAUAAAGGUUAUAGAUGGCAUAGUGACAGAACAAGCAUAGAACGAGUUCGUGCGUAGUACGAUGACAAUGACAACGAUUCGCUGCUUUCUGUCUGAUCACGAAAGCAGUUAUCACUCGUUAACGCCUCACGCCAUCUUGUGUCGUACUGCGUAACUGUGAUGCCAACUUCCUCCCCCAAGUGGGUGCUAUGCAGGGAAGGCUGAUGCCAGGGUUUUCCGAUCACUCAAAUGCACUUCUGUUUGCAGAACCGCCCCUGUGAAUGACUUAGGCAUUGGAGUAUGACAUGUGCGAACAUUAUUUGGUCGGUAACGUUGUGUGGCAAUUACGACCUCCUCGAUUCUUCAGCAUGUUGCAUUCCUUGUAGUAUUUCCGUUAGCUGGCAUUCUGGUAUAAAAGGAGCAAGAAAUCUACUUUUUUGUGUUUUCACUG
Dermacentor andersoni is the source of this 1146-nucleotide long non-coding RNA. RefSeq lists it as uncharacterized. NCBI's taxonomy places the organism in Eukaryota, Metazoa, Arthropoda, Arachnida, Ixodida, Ixodidae. The record is from RefSeq and is a predicted model, not a curated record.